RNAcentral lists this long non-coding RNA (322 nucleotides) under Brachypodium distachyon (stiff brome). RNAcentral's name for it is "long non-coding RNA (BDIS_LNC004293)". The record is from RNAcentral. Lineage: Eukaryota; Viridiplantae; Streptophyta; Magnoliopsida; Poales; Poaceae.
GGGGGUCCUGCCUCGCCACCGGGGAGCAACACCCGGCCACCGAUGCAGUGCCGAGCCACCAGCAGCGGCCGCCCCACCUGGGCCCAGCGCCCGCACCGCCGCGAGCCGCCGGAACCACCUCGCCCCCGCCGGAUCUGCAGCACAGCGGGGAUGGGGACCUCCCCCACGAACCUGCGAGCCACCACGCUCGCUGCCCUCGCCACCGAAGCCGCACCUCGCCGCCGCUGCAAAGCUCCCCGCCGCCGCAAGCGCCGCCAAGACAGGUUUCCUCGCCGCCACCGUCCUCGACCACGACCCGGGCUUAGCCGGCGGCAGUCUCAGG